UACGGAGGGUGCGAGCGUUAAUCGGAAUUACUGGGCGUAAAGCGCGCGUAGGUGGUUUGGCAAGUCGGAUGUGAAAGCCCCGGGCUUAACCUGGGAACUGCAUUCGAUACUGCCUUACUGGAGUGUGGUAGAGGGUAGUGGAAUUCCAGGUGUAGCGGUGAAAUGCGUAGAUAUCUGGAGGAACAUCAGUGGCGAAGGCGGCUACCUGGACCAACACUGACACUGAGGAGCGAAAGCGUGGGGAGCAAACAGG
Molecule: ribosomal RNA, 253 nt
Filed under: uncultured bacterium
Lineage: Bacteria
Description: partial 16S ribosomal RNA
Rfam family: Bacterial small subunit ribosomal RNA
Source: RNAcentral